RNAcentral lists this ribosomal RNA (497 nucleotides) under uncultured bacterium. RNAcentral describes it as "partial 16S ribosomal RNA". It matches the Rfam family "Bacterial small subunit ribosomal RNA", at positions 28 to 507 of the family's 1533-position model. The record is from RNAcentral.
GAUGAACGCUGGCGGCGUGCCUAAUACAUGCAAGUCGAGCGAACAGAUGAGGAGCUUUCUCCUCUUACGUUAGCGGCGGACGGGUGAGUAACACGUGUAUAACCUACCUAUAAGACUGGGAUAACUUCGGGAAACCGGAGCUAAUACCGGAUAAUAUAUUGAACCGCAUGGUUCAAUAGUGAAAGACGGUUUUGCUGUCACUUAUAGAUGGUUCCGCGCCGCAUUAGCUAGUUGGUAAGGUAACGGCUUACCAAGGCAACGAUGCGUAGCCGACGUGAGAGGGUGAUCGGACACACGGGAACAGAGACACGGAACAGACUCCUACGGGAGGCAGCAGUAGGGAAUGUGCCGCAAGGGGCGAAAGCAUGACGGAGCAACGCAGCGGGAGUGAUGAAGGUCUGCGGAUCGUAAAACUAUGUGAUUAGGGAAGAAAAAAUGUGUAAGUAACUAUGCACGUAUUGACGGUAACUAAACAGAAAGCCACGGCUAACUACGUG